AUCCUGUUUGUAGUAAAUUCAAUAUCAAGUUUUAAGAUGCAACAUCUCUACCUACUCUUUUCGAAGGAUCAUCAUUACUUUUUCAGUGUUCUUAUGUACCUUUAAUAGUGUUUAGAAUAAAAGGAAACAAAACUGAAAAAUAAUUCUACAUAAUUGAUGCUCAAGGUGAUCAAAUUUUUUCUUUAUUCACAAUUUUUGUUUUGAAAGUCUGGUUGAUUACGCAUAUUGUUUGAUUAGAUUAUAGUUUUAAAUUUGAUGGAAUGCUUGCCUUUAUGCACAGAGACUAUGCUUUGCAUCGGAAGUGAAUGGCAUCGUUAUCCUUCUUCAUUUUUUAUGCCUUCGUACAUUAAGGAAGUUCAAUGGAUAAAUGAAGGAUUUAGGGGUCUUCUCCCAUAUCCUUUUAAUUCAAGUUUGGGAGGCAUGACAACUACCCCACCUUAUUUCAAUGACAAGAACAAGGGUUCUCAUGGCCAAUAUGUGUCUAUUAAUGGGAUUUUCAAUGUCUUGCUUACCACGCUAAUCCUACUUCUGAUUGGAUUUGCAGCUUCAAGAUAUCAAACUCUACACCUUCUAUAUGGAGCUAGAUUUACAAAAGCCAUAUCCAACUCGAGGAAGUGACUUAUUGACAUGGGAGAGAACUUAUUGGUAACCAAGGACUUUGUGAAGAUAGCAAAUUUUGGCCUUGCUCGUGAAGUUCAUUCGAAGCCACCAUUCACAGAAUAGGUUUCAACACGCUGUUUACAAAUCUCAAGUACUCCAGAGUUGAAAUUGAUGAAGUGCGGUUC
Zingiber officinale is the source of this 785-nucleotide long non-coding RNA. RefSeq lists it as uncharacterized. The record is from RefSeq and is a predicted model, not a curated record. The transcript is spliced from 3 exons. Lineage: Eukaryota; Viridiplantae; Streptophyta; Magnoliopsida; Zingiberales; Zingiberaceae.